This 399-nucleotide ribosomal RNA is filed under the name uncultured bacterium. RNAcentral's name for it is "partial 16S ribosomal RNA". It matches the Rfam family "Bacterial small subunit ribosomal RNA", at positions 338 to 754 of the family's 1533-position model. The record is from RNAcentral.
CCUACGGGAGGCAGCAGUGGGGGAUAUUGCACAAUGGAGGGAACUCUGAUGCAGCGACGCCGCGUGAGGGAAGAAGGUUUUCGGAUUGUAAACCUCUGUCUUCGGGGACGAAACGAGACGGUAGCCGAGGAGGAAGCCACGGCUAACUACGUGCCAGCAGCCGCGGUAAUACGUAGGGGGCAAGCGUGGGCCGGAAGUACUGGGUGUAAAGGGAGCGUAGGCGGGAUAGCAAGUUGAAUGUGGAAGGUACGGGCUCAACCUGUACAAGCGUUCAAAACUGUUUUUCUUGAGUUGAGUAGAGGUAAGCGGACUUCCUAGUGUAGCGGUGAACUGCGUACCUCUUAGGAGUAACCCCAGUGGCGAAUGCGGCUUACUGGGCUUUAACUGACUCUGAGGCUC